Molecule: unclassified non-coding RNA, 321 nt
Filed under: air metagenome
Description: partial contains small subunit ribosomal RNA, internal transcribed spacer 1, and 5.8S ribosomal RNA
Rfam family: Eukaryotic small subunit ribosomal RNA (bases 1-46)
Source: RNAcentral
AAGUCGUAACAAGGUUUCCGUAGGUGAACCUGCGGAAGGAUCAUUAAUGAAUUAUUAGAAUGAUUUGCUGCUGCCUUGAAAAAGGAUUGUGCACAAUCUUUCAAUAUUCUACUUAACCACCUGUGCAUUUUUCAUAAGUCAUGAAUACAACUUAUCACUGAAAAUGUGGAUUUGAGACUUAGUUUCAUACUUGGUCUCAAUGGUAAUCAUGGUUUAUGCUUUUCUUACACACACUAUUCAAAUGAAAUGAAUGUAUUACUUGUAGAGUUUUACUCUAUAAUAAAUAAAAUACAACUUUCAGCAACGGAUCUCUUGGCUCUC